GACGAACGCUGGCGGCGUGCCUAAUACAUGCAAGUAGAACGCUGAAGUAGGAGCUUGCUUCUCUGGAUGAGUUGCGAACGGGUGAGUAACGCGUAGGUAACCUGCCUGGUAGCGGGGGAUAGCUAUUGGAAACGAUAGCUAAUACCGCAUAAUAGUAGAUGUUGCAUGACAUUUGCAUAAAAGGUGCAAUUGCAUCACUACCAGAUGGACCUGCGUUGUAUUAGCUAGUUAGUGGGGUAACGGGUCACCAAGGCGACGAGACAUAGGCGGCCUGAGCGGGUGAGCGGCCUCACUCGGACUGUGACACGGCCCAGACGACUACGGGAGGCCGCGGUAGGGCAGUGUCGGAAAUGGACCGAAGUCUGACCGAGCAACGCCGCGUGAGUGAAGAAGGGUUUCGGAUCGUAAAUCGCUGUUUGAAGAGAAGAACGAGUGUUAGAGUGUAAAGUUCACUCUGUGACGGUACCUUACCAGAAAGCGACGGCUAACUACGUG
RNAcentral lists this ribosomal RNA (495 nucleotides) under uncultured bacterium. Its description in RNAcentral is "partial 16S ribosomal RNA". It matches the Rfam family "Bacterial small subunit ribosomal RNA", at positions 28 to 507 of the family's 1533-position model. The record is from RNAcentral.